CUCAUCUACAACAUUUGAACUCUGAGAACAGUCUCGGGCAGAAAAUAUACUGAAGAGCUCAGUCAAAGUCAGCUGUUGAAGAUAGCUCUAUGCAGGUACCUGUGGCAUGCAGCACAACCUACCCGUAAUGGAGCACAGUGCUACACGGGGAGGCAGUGACCAGCAGUUGAAACCAUGGACAGAUUAAGGGAGACAGAAGAAGAGGAGAAUGAGUGUGCAGAACUGCAAGAAGAAUCCUUGCCUGAUUCAAAAACAGCUGUGCAAGACUUCAGCAAAGCAGCACUUCAGAUUUUUUUUGCAGGCCCAAGUGGAACCACCUCCUUGAACUCAUUAAGAUCUGAGUAGUCUCUCAGCUGUCAGCAAAAGAGACAAGAGGUCAUUAGAAGUAGACAAGGAGACAAAUAAUUGAAAACGUCCAUUAGCACUUCCUUUCUGUACGUUUGCUUUCUCACUAAAAGCAGGAGUGACAAUCAGAAAGAUCAAAACAAUGGAAAGGGAGUACAAGAGAUGCAAUGACAGAGAAACUAAUACAACGGAAAGAUGUUACAAUGGAAGGAAAAAGGACUGC
Gallus gallus (chicken) is the source of this 568-nucleotide long non-coding RNA. The record is from Ensembl. NCBI's taxonomy places the organism in Eukaryota, Metazoa, Chordata, Aves, Galliformes, Phasianidae.